UCUCUCUAAUGGAAAAUCUCUGGUUUUAACUGUAAUCUUUUGUCUUAUAGUUAUUCUUGGUGAAAUCUAAUAUAGAUUACUUGUAGGAGAGGCUGGUUCUGUUCUUGGUCGAGCAGUAACGUUUUGUUAAUUGAUGUAAUCUGUUAAGGGUAUUUUUGAGAGAAAAAAUAUGGUCUGAGGGCAAGAUCUAUCGGAUCUUUUGUGUUGUAAUCCUUGUACUGAUAUUCUUUGUUAGUUUUUUGUGGAUUGGAGCGAUAACCACUUUGGUAGAUGCUCAACGUGGUAAUUAACUCUCUUUUGUGCGAACAUCCGAGCCUUUGGGCAAAAAAUCUUCGAUGUUCUUUAAUAUUCUGUCAAUAGUUUUGGUUUUUGGGGACUGUUAAUACCAACAUCCAUCAACAGUAUUGUCUUGUAUUUUGGGAAUAAGAAUGUAGGGAAAGUUUAAAACUUAAACAAUUCUAUCAAUGGUCUGUUGAUUAAAUUCUCUUUCGUGAAAGAUAACUCUAAUUUGGAACUUUGAAUUUCGUGAAUGUGCAAGCUCACUAUUUUUUGAUUUGUUCUGAUACAUUUAAAAUUAUAUUGCUUAAAAAAUUUACUGCGUUCUUUUAACUGCUUCCUCGACUAUUAACUUCAUUUUCUCUCUCCUUUUAUGUCACUGGGAAUCGUUUAGUACAAGAGAUCUGGUGCAGCUCCUGUGGAACCCGGUGGACUCCCGGGUCAAGUUUGUUCAACUGUCCCCACUGGUCCAAAUGGUGGACAUGGUAGAGGUGCUGUCCCCAUGCAGAAUGGGUUUCGUCCAGGUUAUGGAAUGCCUGUUUGGGGAGCUAAUCCUCCCCUCGAGCUUGCUGCAGCAUUCCGCAUCCAAGAUAUUCCAUCUGAAAAUGCAAAUCUUGGAAAAGAUGCAGGUGCAAACGACUUAGCAAGAGCAUCAGCACUUGAACGGCCCCCUCUUGUAUGUUUUGGAAUCCAUGUUUUCUUUAUGGUUCAUGUUGGAUGAGAUAUGGAAGCUUUUAUUCAUGCUACCUUUAUGCUCCAUUUUGGGAUCUCUAUGGAAUACCUUAGCCACUGUCUUCUUCACUUAAUUCUCACUAGAAAAGUUAAUUUCAGCUUUGCCCAUCAAAAGGGUUCUUUGAAGUUUCUAGUAAUUAACAAACCAACGGUAAUAUUACAGAGUUCAAAAGUAACGUCUCACCAGCUUUCUUUCAUUUGUUACUAGCCUGUUGGCAGAACAAUACUGGUCGAAACUGGAUCCGGCGAUCUUCUCCCAUCUAUUGACACCAGGCGAAUGCAGGUUUCAGAUGCAAUAAUCGAGGUGAGCAACAAAUUCUUUAACAUCAUUGCAUCUGUGUCACACUACUGAUGUUCUCUGGCAAACAGAUUGUGCGUCCGGCAGAUAAUGAUGGCAAGGCUGAGCAACAAGAAAAUGAAGCACAUGUUGGUGAGAAGGAAGAAUCAUAUCCUGCCACCAUCGGGUCAUAGAUGAGUGCAUUUGACCUAUACAUAUUUCAAUACAGAUGUUUCCAAACUUGCUAGAAUAGCUUCCAUACAUUCUAGUCUUAUUACUUGAUAUGAAUGAAGUGUAGCAUUACACAUGUAUAUAGAUUUUCCUUUGCCCAAAGAUUGUAGUGUUUGAAUUCAAGGAAAAACAUUGUCAUGUGUUUUGUCUUUUAAUUGCGUUUGACACUCAGAAGUCAGUUGGGAACUUCUGAUAAUAUUAGUAGGAGAUACCUUUUGAAUCUUUAAUGAAGUAAAUGCUCUUUAAGUCUCUUAGCUUAGUUGAAUUUCAAAAGAUAUCUGGGUAGUAUUAUAUUUGCUUGUGUAAGAAAAAAGCUGUAGUUUUGAAACAUUG
This 1849-nucleotide long non-coding RNA is filed under the name Olea europaea subsp. europaea. The record is from RNAcentral. Lineage: Eukaryota; Viridiplantae; Streptophyta; Magnoliopsida; Lamiales; Oleaceae.